Molecule: transfer RNA, 398 nt
Filed under: Clostridioides difficile
Lineage: Bacteria; Bacillati; Bacillota; Clostridia; Peptostreptococcales; Peptostreptococcaceae
Description: 16S-23S ribosomal RNA intergenic spacer
Rfam family: tRNA (bases 54-126)
Source: RNAcentral
AAGGAGAAUUACCUACUGUUUAAUUUUGAAAGUUUUUUACGAACUUUAUAUAUGGGGGUGUAGCUCAGUUGGGAGAGCACUUGCCUUGCAAGCAAGGGGUCAGGAGUUCGACUCUCCUCAUCUCCACCAUUUAAGAGUAUAUUACUUAAAUCUUUGAUUUACUUAGUAGCCUCUUACAAUGCACUUAUAGCUUAAAUUUAUACAGGCUUUGUGCGUUAGCACUUUAAGCAACAGAAUAAACUGAACACAUGUGAAGUUUGUUUGUUGGCGCUGUGCGUUAGCACUUUGAAAACUGCAUAUAUAUUUAGUGAUAUGACAUCUAAUUUGUAAUAUAUAAAGCUGAUAACUUUUUAAAAUUAUCGAAGUUGAUAGCUUCUAAUCUAUCAAACCUUUUUAAC